GUCCGCGGGAAUUUGAAGUGCCUGACUGGGUGGCCGGGAGACGGAGUCUCGGGGUCGCGUGCACCUGGGCGGCCAGGGAGGCUCCAGUGCCCGGGAGAAAGGCAAGAAAACUGAGGCACAGAGAGAUUGUCACACAGCCAGUAAGGUUUCUUUCAAAAUGAAGAUUCACGCAGUGAUUGUAACUGUCUUGAUGAGCCAGGUUGUAGUUUACAAAGUUUUAUUCCAGAAGGAAAAAAGCCACUUCACCUAGAAAUUUUGCAAACAAAUCAACUUUUACUCUGUGAGUAAUCCAGGGCCUAUCAAGACUACAUUUUAGUUAACUGCAAGGCCUCUGAGGCACGGGAAUUCACAGCUGAGUUCUUGGAGAAGGUCCUUGAGCCAUCUGGAUGGCGGACAGUCUGGCACAUGAUGUGCUCAAGGUGCUGCUUGAGGCCACAGAUGUGGACAUUUCAGCCUUGGAGGCAGUGGUGCAGCUUGCUGAGCCAUACCUCUGUGAAUCUUGAGCGAGUACUUUCACCUUGGAGUGUAUGAAAGAGCUCCUCGAGCUGAAGGAACAUCAGUUGCCCCUGCAGGAGCUGGGUGGUGUUUGAUGAUUCUGGAGUGUUUGACCAGACAGCACUUGUAACUGAGCAUGUCAGCUAGGAAGGAUAGCCGCUGAGCAAGCCUGUAAGGCUAUUGGUCUGCCCAUUCUGGUUUCUUCACCAAUGAGAAAACUGGGACCUGGGGAGUUUGCAGAAGCCAUCCAAGGGCACCUGCUUCUCACAGCACAGCAGCUUCCUGCAGCCCUCCCUCCUGUCUUGUUUCUCCCUUGGUUGAGAGGGGAGGCCAGAACCAGAUGCAGGCAGUUCCAACAGUAAUGAAUUGCUCUAAGGUGUGGAGCCAAGAACCGGUGACAAGGUCAGGAAAUUCCAUCCCAGGACACUGACCCAACUAAGAGACUGUGCAUGAUGGCUAAGUUCAGAGCUCUGAGGAGAUGGUAAAACUCAUUUGCAAUGAAACAAGAUAUUUCCCAACUCUGCAGCCAGAAACCAUCCUCCUGGCUGUCUCACCAUCAGCGCCACCUCUCCGUGGGUCUGGAGUCUUGAGGAGCCAGGACUGGACUGGGAUGUGAGGCUGGGUCUUCCGAGCCGUAGAUGGGAGCAGGAAGAUGUAUCUCCAUUCACGAUCUCAGUACAAGGCUCAGCUAUCUCCCGGCAACUCGCCCAUCAUCUGUUUCUGAGUUCUUCUGACAUACAGGUGCAGAAAGCUGGAAGUGAUGCUCCAGGGAGUUUAUGUCUCCCCAUCUUGACCCACACCAAUACCUGAGGCUCAUUGCUUUGAUUCAAGUCCGGACAAGCUCUAAGGUUCAGCUCACACUGGCAGUCACACUGCAGGUGCAAGCAAGAAUAGGGCUUGAAUCACACCCCUACUUGAUUUCUCCGUCUCCCUCCUCCUUCCUACUUCUCCCAGGAGCACCAUAGAAAAUUCCUGGAGCUCCUGGGAGUCUGUGAACGGUGGUGAUGCAGAAAAGCAAAGCGUGUGUAUCUGUUUUAGUCCUACCUCAGAUCUGCUGAAGACACCUUGAGCCUGAAGUGAAAUCACAGUGGCUCUCAGGAAGAAGGGUGACUGUCUGGUGUGCAGUUGUGCUGCCACGGCAAAGGGAACUUUAAAACAUAGAACUGCCAUGUAGAGAAGCUCAGGAAAUAUCCAUGGUCUGUCAUCUCUUUUGGUCAUAGAAUCAAAAAAAAAUGGAAGACAAGAAAAGGCAGUGAAGACUGACAGCCUGUUGGUUGCUAUUCCAGUCGUGUCUGCUCCAUACGUGCCCUCCAUCUCAUCCCACCCAGUCAGUAUAUUUUCACCAGGCAGUGUUGCAGAAAUGUCUGUGGACUCCAGUUCUAUUGCAGUCAGGCAGCAUUUACAGGUUUGACUUUCAACUGACCAUGGCAGGAAGUCUAGAGGCAAUUAUAGCCAACACCUGCUCUAUGUGCGUGCCGGGCAGGCGGUGGCUGAUUCCUUGCCUCCAAUCCAUGAUGUGUUUCCUAUCAGCUCAGAAUAAUAACAGCGACACCUCUGCUUCUUCUCUGUCUGGAGGAGCUCAAGGCACUUUACUCUGAAAACCCUCAAAUUACUGGCAUUUCUUUUAGUGAAGAUAUCAAAUUAAUGACUGAAAAAAAUGUAGAAGAUGGUUAUUGGUGAUGUUAAAAGACAAGUUUAACCCACUUCCACACAACAUGUCUUACAAGUGUAAAGUAUUUGAGUAGAGAAAACUAUGAAUCUAAAAUUGAACAAGAUGUGAAUUUAGACAGACAGCGUUUGUGGUCACAGAUGUGCUGAGAUGAAGACUGGAGGAAGGGCACAAUUUCUGUAGCAGUGACUUCCACCCAGGGUGUGUCUUGCUAUUGUGUGAAAUGAUUUUUGACACUGGACAAAUCUCUACUUCCACUUACAAUGUUUUGCCAGCUAGCUGAGGCAUUCUGGGAGGGUGAGGAGCCUGGGCUUGGGCUGACCUCAGGAAAUCCUGUGUAAAGGGCUUUUGCACACUCAGAAGCAGGCCAGGUUCACCGCUGUUAUGUGCAAUAAUCACUCCUGGCUCUUGCUUCUGAGCCUUGGCAAACCUGAGUCCUAAGAGGCCAAUGAAAAGGAAAACACAUUAAGGAGCCAGGGCGCUUCUUGGAUAUCAGCCUGAAUAGUUCUGUUUCAUCUGGAACCCAAUUUUACUCUCCUGCUGUUUUACACGGAACUAAAAAGAGCUUUACAGAGGACCAGAUUGACUGCAGGUCCCUAGGCAGUCAGGGGCCAGGCAAGGCAUAGGAGGGUGUCAGGCCUGUGAGCUCAAACUAGGCCAUCAUAUCCCCUGUGACCUGCACGUACACAUCCAGAUGGCUGGUUCCUGCCUUAACUGAUGGCAUUCCACCACAAAAGAAAUGAAAAUGGCCUGUUCCUGCCUUAACUGAUGACAUUGUCUUGUGAAAUUCCUUCUCCUGGCUCAUCCUGGCUCAAGAGCUCCCCUACUGAGCACGUUGUGACCCCCACUCCUGCCUGCCAGAGAACAACCCCCCUUUGACUGUAAUUUUCCUUUACCUACCCAAAUCCUAUAAAAUGGCCCCACCCCUAUCUCCCUUCACUAACUCUCUUUUCGGACUCAGCCUGCCUGCACCCAGGUGAAAUAAACAGCCUUGUUGCUCACACAAA
RNAcentral lists this small RNA (3171 nucleotides) under Pan troglodytes (chimpanzee). RNAcentral's name for it is "processed transcript". Lineage: Eukaryota; Metazoa; Chordata; Mammalia; Primates; Hominidae. The record is from RNAcentral.